RNAcentral lists this ribosomal RNA (497 nucleotides) under uncultured bacterium. RNAcentral describes it as "partial 16S ribosomal RNA". It matches the Rfam family "Bacterial small subunit ribosomal RNA", at positions 29 to 507 of the family's 1533-position model. The record is from RNAcentral.
AAUGAACGCUGGCGGCGUGCCUAAUACAUGCAAGUCGAGCGAAAGGACAAGAAGCUUGCUUCUCUGAGGUUAGCGGCGGACGGGCGAGUAACACGUGGAUAACCAACCUAUAAGACUGGGAUAAUUUCGGGAAACCGGAGCUACUACCGGAUAAUAUUUUGAACCGCAUGGAUCAAAAGUGAAAGACGGCCUUGCUGUCACUUAUAGAUGGAUCCGCGCUGCAUUAGCUAGUUGGUAAGGUAACGGCUUACCAAGGCAACGAUGCGUAGCCGACCUGAGAGGGUGAUCGGCCACACUGGAACUGAGACACGGUCCAGACUCCUACGGGAGGCAGCAGUAGGGAAUCUUCCGCAAUGGGCGAAAGCCUGACGGAGCAACGCCGCGUGAGUGAUGAAGGUCUUCGGAUCGUAAAACUCUGUUAUUAGGGAAGAACAGAUGUGUAAGUAUCUGUGCACAUCUUGACGGUACCUAAUCAGAAAGCCACGGCUAACUACGUG